GCAUAAACAUCAUCAUAGUAUGCUCAAAAGUUGCUAGUUAUUUACCUUAGCGGGAGUAAAUUUGAGAGAAAUGCUAUUAACACAGUGGCGCUCGUCCGUGGGUGUUCCGAAUCCCUCACCUUUGAAGACAUGACCUAGGUGGCCUCCACAAGCUGCGCAAGUGAUCUCCACUCUCCUUCCAUCAGCAUCCGUCGUUCUAUUUAUAGCACCAGGAAGUCCAUCAAAAAAAGCUGGCCAGCCACACCCCGAGUUGAACUUUGUAGUCGACUUGUACAGAGGAGUCCCGCAACCUGCGCACUCGUACACGCCUUCUUCGAAGAACUUGUCAUAUUGGCCAGUUCCUGGGUACUCAGUCCCUUUCUGCCGAAGGAUCCGGAACUGCUCCGGCGAGAGGAUGGCCCUCCACUCCUCCUCCGGCUUCUGCACAGAUCCCGACGACGACAUCGCAGCCACAGAGGUCCUCCUGCUCGGAUGCGCUGACCAACCAAGCCGGAAUCCAGAGAUAGAGUUGGAUGGUGGAAUUGAAUGGGGCCUGUGGGUUGACCGGGAUUUUAUAUGAUUGGCGGAAUUAGCAAGGAGUGGAAUUCGAAUAACGGGGGUUGGGUGG
Molecule: unclassified non-coding RNA, 607 nt
Filed under: Hevea brasiliensis (rubber tree)
Lineage: Eukaryota; Viridiplantae; Streptophyta; Magnoliopsida; Malpighiales; Euphorbiaceae
Source: RNAcentral